AUAUUCUUGUUGCAGCUAUGGAUUAAUGGGUUUACUUUUGCCAAGAACACUAAUUAAUUAUUUUUUGGUCUGUAAUAUAUGGCCUGCAUGAUGUUCAUUGUUUAUUCAUGUUUAUUGGCCGGCAUGGUGGUUCACACCUAUAAUCUCAGCACUUCGGGAGGCUGAGGCGGGAGGAUCCCUUAAGCCCAUGGUUCGAGACCAGCCUGAACAACAUAGUGAGACUCUGUUUUUACAAAAUAUUUUUUAAAAUUACCCGGGUAUAGUGGCAUGUGCCUGUAGUCCCAGCUAACUCAGGAGGCUGAGGUGGGAAGAUUGUUUGAGCCUGGGAGGUCGAGGCUGCAGUGAACCAUGAUUGUAUACUUGCUCUGUUGCCCAGGCCACUGUAUACCAGCCUGGGCAACAGAGCAAGACCUUGUCUUAAAAACAAAACAAAACAAAACAAAAGGUUUAUGGAGAUAGGACCAAUAUCCAGAAUCUAGUUCAAGAAGCCAGAAUAGGCUACAGUGGAGUUGGAGAAUGGGAGAUAAGAGAGCAGGGAUCAAAAGAAGACAUGAAAAGAAUCACCAGGAAAAAGAUAAUGGAGGAGAACUUAGAAAAAGUGAAAUAAGACAAGUAACAUUCAACAUACAGUACUUAGGGCUAUAGAGGAAUUAUAGGUGUGGGGAAGAGAAAGGAAGUAAGCGGGAAAAAUAACAUGUUUUGGCAGCUUCAAAUUUAAGUGGGUUGAUUACAGAGAUAUUUUUAAAACAUUGUUAGCCACUUUGGUAGGUAUUGCCAUUUUUUUCAGAUAUUGAUAAGUAAAAUACUAUUUUUAUAUUUUAAUAGCUAAACAUGCUUUUGCCAUUGAAGAAUAUAGCUUUUCUCAAGCAACAUUGGAACAGGUUUUUGUAGAACUCACUAAAGAACAAGAGGAGGAAGAUAAUAGUUGUGGAACUUUAAACAGCACACUUUGGUGGGAACGAACACAAGAAGAUAGAGUAGUAUUUUGAAUUUGUAUUGUUCGGUCUGCUUACUGGGACUUCUUUCUUUUUCACUUAAUUUUAACUUUGGUUUAAAAAGUUUUUUAUUGGAAUGGUAACUGGAGAACCAAGAACGCACUUGAAAUUUUUCUAAGCUCCUUAAUUGAAAUGCUGUGGUUGUGUGUUUUGCU
This 1150-nucleotide small RNA is filed under the name Pan troglodytes (chimpanzee). RNAcentral's name for it is "retained intron". Lineage: Eukaryota; Metazoa; Chordata; Mammalia; Primates; Hominidae. The record is from RNAcentral.